GCCGAGUUGGGUAACUUCAACUUGUAACCCAAGUGGGGGCAUGAAGGUGAUGGAACAUGGCUUAAGAUUUGCCAGGUUGGGUUGGUGGCUGCACCAUGCUGGCCUGCCCACUCCAAGUUGAGAGUUGGCCAAUGUGACCUAGGCGAAGGCUUGAGUCUCCUUGGUCCUAGACUGGAGGGCACUGUGUGAGGCUGGUUUCACAGAGCAGCAAACACCUCCGUCUCUUGACAGUGGAGGGAUAACUGGCCGCUGCACUUCUAGUCCAAUAUGCCUGGUGAGCCUAGCCACCUGAACCACCACUUUUUU
This 306-nucleotide signal recognition particle RNA is filed under the name Medicago truncatula (barrel medic). RNAcentral's name for it is "SRP RNA gene6083". It matches the Rfam family "Plant signal recognition particle RNA". The record is from RNAcentral. Lineage: Eukaryota; Viridiplantae; Streptophyta; Magnoliopsida; Fabales; Fabaceae.